Molecule: long non-coding RNA, 217 nt
Organism: Pieris rapae (cabbage white)
Lineage: Eukaryota; Metazoa; Arthropoda; Insecta; Lepidoptera; Pieridae
Exons: 2
Source: RefSeq, a predicted model, not a curated record
ACUGUAGCGCUUUGUAAUCAUACAAUAUCGUGGCAAUAAACAAAGGAAGUGAUCAGUCGCGUGUGAGUAAGCGUCAAUAACGCUGUCCGUUCGGAAUUUGUAAAUUUUGCAGUGGCCAUUUUGUUUUAACAGACUGAAUUUCCGGAAUUAAAACUGCAAUUUCAAAUUUCUCUCUCCAUUAAUACCUUCUUCGAAUUUCAAGGAAUAAAUAAAUACU